UACGGAGGGUGCAAACGUUGCUCGGAAUCAUUGGGCGUAAAGGGUCUGUAGGUGGCCAACUAAGUCAAACGUGAAAUCCCUCAGCUUAACUGGGGAACUGCGUCUGAUACUGGAUGGCUCGAGUGUGGGAGAGGAAUGCGGAAUUCCAGGUGUAGCGGUGAAAUGCGUAGAGAUGUGGAAGAACACCAAUGGCGAAGGCAGCUCGCUAGGACGGUACUGACGCUGAGGCGCGAAAGCGUGGGGAGCAAACAGG
Molecule: ribosomal RNA, 253 nt
Filed under: uncultured bacterium
Lineage: Bacteria
Description: partial 16S ribosomal RNA
Rfam family: Bacterial small subunit ribosomal RNA
Source: RNAcentral